AGUCGAGGGGCAGCAUGGUCUUAGCUUGCUAAGACUGAUGGCGACCGGCGCACGGUUGAGUAACACGUAUCCAACCUGCCGUCUACUCUUGGACAGCCUUCUGAAAGGAAGAUUAAUACAAGAUGGCAUCAUGAGUCCGCAUGUUCACAUGAUUAAAGGUAUUCCGGUAGACGAUGGGGAUGCGUUCCAUUAGAUAGUAGGCGGGGUAACGGCCCACCUAGUCUUCGAUGGAUAGGGGUUCUGAGAGGAAGGUCCCCCACAUUGGAACUGAGACACGGUCCAAACUCCUACGGGAGGCAGCAGUGAGGAAUAUUGGUCAAUGGGCGAGAGCCUGAACCAGCCAAGUAGCGUGAAGGAUGACUGCCCUAUGGGUUGUAAACUUCUUUUAUAAAGGAAUAAAGUCGGGUAUGCAUACCCGUUUGCAUGUACUUUAUGAAUAAGGAUCGGCUAACUCCGUGCCAGCAGCCGCGGUAAUACGGAGGAUCCGAGCGUUAUCCGGAUUUAUUGGGUUUAAAGGGAGCGUAGAUGGAUGUUUAAGUCAGUUGUGAAAGUUUGCGGCUCAACCGUAAAAUUGCAGUUGAUACUGGAUAUCUUGAGUGCAGUCGAGGCAGGCGGAAUUCGUGGUGUAGCGGUGAAAUGCUUAGAUAUCACGAAGAACUCCGAUUGCGAAGGCAGCCUGCUAAGCUGCAACUGACAUUGAGGCUCGAAAGUGUGGGUAUCAAACAGGAUUAGAUA
This 735-nucleotide ribosomal RNA is filed under the name uncultured bacterium. Its description in RNAcentral is "bacterial SSU rRNA". It matches the Rfam family "Bacterial small subunit ribosomal RNA", at positions 60 to 784 of the family's 1533-position model. The record is from RNAcentral.